Molecule: ribosomal RNA, 139 nt
Filed under: Escherichia coli
Lineage: Bacteria; Pseudomonadati; Pseudomonadota; Gammaproteobacteria; Enterobacterales; Enterobacteriaceae
Description: partial 16S ribosomal RNA
Source: RNAcentral
AAAUUGAAGAGUUUGAUCAUGGCUCAGAUUGAACGCUGGCGGCAGGCCUAACACAUGCAAGUCGAACGGUAACAGGAARMAGCUUGCUKYUUYGCUGACGAGUGGCGGACGGGUGAGUAAUGUCUGGGAAACUGCCUGA